UUUAGACACAAAAUCAAACACCUCACUCACGCCCAAAUUCUGUACACACCCGUCCUUCUUAAACGUUUGUUCCCACCCAAUGUGUGUGUCCCGAGCGGCGCGGUAGGGACACACACGUUGACUCACGUUUCCAAGUUUGCUUAAUAGCUUGGGCUUGUUUUUGAGCCCAUGAAAGAAAUUGAGUCCAUAUUCCAUUAUAUAAGCUAAGCAGCAAUUUAGGUUAAAGUGUCUUUUAAUUUUUGUUGAGAGAAAGGAAGCGGCGGCAGCCUAUGAUGUGGAGAAAUGCGUAUUUUCCAACUUGUUGUCUUCCCUUUUGUUUUAUGUAAGGACAGAUUCAAAAAAGUAAAAGGAUUUGGAUUUUGAAUCCAAGAAAAUGAUUUGGAAGUCAAGAAAAACAACUAUUGGAUUAUGCAUUUCUCUUGAAAAAGAAUUUGGAAGCCAAGACAAAAAAAAAUUAGAAACAAGCUGACAAAAAGAAGAAUGAGAAUGGAUGGAUAUGCAAAGAAGAAAUUAUGAUGCUAGUUGAUGAUAAUUGUUUGUAAAAUUGUAAUAGAAAUAUUUAGUUUGAUCUAUAAAAGUGUUCAUCUCUUAUUUUUCAAGUUU
Molecule: long non-coding RNA, 603 nt
Organism: Quercus lobata
Lineage: Eukaryota; Viridiplantae; Streptophyta; Magnoliopsida; Fagales; Fagaceae
Exons: 2
Source: RefSeq, a predicted model, not a curated record